GAGUUUGAUCCUGGCUCAGGACGAACGCUGGCGGCGUGCCUAAUACAUGCAAGUCGAGCGGACAGAUGGGAGCUUGCUCCCUGAUGUUAGCGGCGGACGGGUGAGUAACACGUGGGUAACCUGCCUGUAAGACUGGGAUAACUCCGGGAAACCGGGGCUAAUACCGGAUGGUUGUUUGAACCGCAUGGUUCAGACAUAAAAGGUGGCUUCGGCUACCACUUACAGAUGGACCCGCGGCGCAUUAGCUAGUUGGUGAGGUAACGGCUCACCAAGGCGACGAUGCGUAGCCGACCUGAGAGGGUGAUCGGCCACACUGGGACUGAGACACGGCCCAGACUCCUACGAGAGGCAGCAGUAGGGAAUCUUCCGCAAUGGACGAAAGUCUGACGGAGCAACGCCGCGUGAGUGAUGAAGGUUUUCGGAUCGUAAAGCUCUGUUGUUAGGGAAGAACAAGUGCCGUUCAAAUAGGGCGGCACCUUGACGGUACCUAACCAGAAAGCCACGGCUAACUACGUGCCAGCAGCCGCGGUAAUACGUAGGUGGCAAGCGUUGUCCGGAAUUAUUGGGCGUAAAGGGCUCGCAGGCGGUUUCUUAAGUCUGAUGUGAAAGCCCCCGGCUCAACCGGGGAGGGUCAUUGGAAACUGGGGAACUUGAGUGCAGAAGAGGAGAGUGGAAUUCCACGUGUAGCGGUGAAAUGCGUAGAGAUGUGGAGGAACACCAGUGGCGAAGGCGACUCUCUGGUCUGUAACUGACGCUGAGGAGCGAAAGCGUGGGGAGCGAACAGGAUUAGAUACCCUGGUAGUCCACGCCGUAAACGAUGAGUGCUAAGUGUUAGGGGGUUUCCGCCCCUUAGUGCUGCAGCUAACGCAUUAAGCACUCCGCCUGGGGAGUACGGUCGCAAGACUGAAACUCAAAGGAAUUGACGGGGGC
RNAcentral lists this ribosomal RNA (930 nucleotides) under Bacillus subtilis. Its description in RNAcentral is "bacterial SSU rRNA". It matches the Rfam family "Bacterial small subunit ribosomal RNA", at positions 9 to 920 of the family's 1533-position model. Lineage: Bacteria; Bacillati; Bacillota; Bacilli; Caryophanales; Bacillaceae. The record is from RNAcentral.